This 497-nucleotide ribosomal RNA is filed under the name uncultured bacterium. Its description in RNAcentral is "partial 16S ribosomal RNA". It matches the Rfam family "Bacterial small subunit ribosomal RNA", at positions 28 to 507 of the family's 1533-position model. The record is from RNAcentral.
GAUGAACGCUGGCGGCGUGCCUAAUACAUGCAAGUCGAGCGAACAGACGAGGAGCUUGCUCCUCUGACGUUAGCGGCGGACGGGUGAGUAACACGUGGAUAACCUACCUAUAAGACUGGGAGAACUUCGGGAAACCGGAGCUAAUACCGGAUAAUAUAUUGAACCGCAUGGUUCAAUAGUGAAAGACGGUUUUGCUGUCACUUAUAGAUGGAUCCGCGUCGCAUUAGCUAGUUGGUAAGGUAACGGCUCACCAAGGCGACGAUGCGUAGCCGACCUGAGAGGAUGAUCAGCCACACUGGAACUGAGACACGGUCCAGACUCCUACGGGAGGCAGCAGUGGGGAAUAUUGGACAAUGGGCGCAAGCCUGAUCCAGCCAUACCGCGUGGGUGAAGAAGGCCUUCGGGUUGUAAAGCCCUUUUGUUGGGAAAGAAAAGCAGCAGGUUAAUCCCCCGCUGUUCUGACGGUACCCAAAGAAUAAGCACCGGCUAACUUCGUG